UAUUUUAACAAGGGGACUGCAGAUCUUGGUGUUCUGUGAGUAAUCCAGUCCAGAGAUUCCAGUCAGCCCUGGUGCGGCAGAACCUCAGCCUAAACAACAGUUGAUGUCUCAUCCCAGCUCAGAAACCAGUCUCAGCCGGCUCAAACCGGCUUUGGCUGGAUGGAUUGGCAAACGUGUCUGAGCUCUCUUUUUUUUUCUUCCAUGAAUUUCGAUUGCCCCACCCAUACAGAAGCAGCACAGAGAAAAAGCUCAUUUCUAUUUUUAUGUUGGGAUUCAGUGCUGCCCUAGAAUUAUUUCUACUACACCCUGUAGCAGGAAGGGAUGCCAAAUUAUUUUCAGUUCCCCAACCCCAAUUAUAUUUUUGUAACAUAGAAAAAUUGCCUAUUUUUUCCCUCCAAAAAUCUAUGCAAAAGGAAGGUAUGGGUGUGCUUUCCUUUUCAUAGUGCCCAACCAUUUUGAGAAUAUGUUCUACUGAUGAGAGGAGACUGACCUGUUUGCUGGACCUUUUCUUAAAUACAGGCAGUGCUAUUGUACCAGGGCUACCUUAGUUGUCUUAUUAGGAAGAAAUGAAACUUUAUAUCCCGUAUAUUACAGACACUCAUUGUGGACAAUACUACCUUACCUAUUUCUCAACUUCCACUUCACCUUGGUAAUGAGAGAUUUACUAAACGUUUUGGAAAGAUUUCCCUAUGUACUGUGAUGAUCAUGUUGUCCAGAAAAAUCAGAUGUUGCCUGUCUUUUACCUGUAAACAGGGAAAUACCCUAAUAAGGCGGACUACAGCAUCUGCUUUUCUCCCUGAUGACAGCAAAAGAAGCCUAUCCAAGGACACCUCAUUCCUAGUUCAGUAAAAUAAGCAUCUCUUGCUGUAGCUAGCACAUUACUCUUGUUACUACCCAAGCUGCGACUGACAUGUCCUCACAAGCUAAAAGGAGGUCAAUCAUCUUCCAAUUAAGUCUGUCAAGGUUUCGACUGACAAACUCAACCGAGCAAGCACAAUCAAGAAGGUCCAAUUUCUUUAGGCAAAGCUUUAUUGAGUACAUCAUUUUGGCACAAUUAAGGCAAAACCAGCCCUGGCUAUUUCCCACACAAUCCUGUAUAAUUAAAGUAUAGUAAUUCUCCUUCCCCAUCUUGGUGUAGGUCACAUUGUCCAAUUAAAUGCAAUAGAAUUGUUAUGAGAAAAUACUGAGGAUCUUAGCCAUGGGCUGAAGUAUCCUUUAUUCCCACUCUCCUUAUGUCUGGAACCUACAUUUAAUUUCCCCCCUCCCCUCCCCCUUAGUUUAUUGGCAAGCUGAGAGGUGAUAAUAGUUGCAACAGUGUAGCUUGACAAAAUCAUGCAUAGUCAUGCAUUGAAGCUUGACAAAGUCAUGCAUAGUUCUGCAGGGUGAGCAACAAUAUGGAACAAGCCCUGUUGGUCACAAGAGCAAUUCUGUCUUUUUUCAUGCUUCUCUCAUAAAUAAUUUAAAAAGUGCUUCCUCCUUGAUUUCUACACCAAACUGCCUGCUAAACUGCUCUCCCUAUUAACUUGAUCAGUAAUCAGAUAGAUGAUUAGAAGACUAGAAGUAAAUGCUGAAAACCAGACAGUCUUGGCGGCAUCAUAUUUGAAAUUAUUGAAAGUAGAUCAGAAGUCAUACAGUUGGAACUAAUCAAACGUGAUGUCUCCCUCAAUUGCUGAUUCAAACAAAGAGAAGCCAUCCAAGAAGAACUAUAAGGAGCAUCAGGGGAACAUUGAAGGAUCUGUGGCAGAGUCAAAACAAGGAACAAUGGAAGUGGAUGGUGGCUCCCUCUCUCUGGAACAUCAUUCCCUCAGAGAUUAGAAUGGCCCCCAUUCUAAUACUCUUCCGGAAGGUGCUGAAGAUCUGAUUCUGCCAGUGGGCCUGGGGAACCCAGAGCGGGAUGGAGCCCAUUAAAUGGCUUGUGUGAUCUGCUGUUGCCGGGAUGGGGGGUGGGAGAUGGGGAGUGAUUUUGUUAUAUUGUACUAUAUUAAUUUAUUUGAUUCUUUUUGUUAGUUUUUAUUGUUUUAAAUGUUGUUUUAUAUUCUGUAAGCUGCCUUGUGUCGCCAUGAGCGAAUAGGCGGCAAUAUAAAUUCAAUAAAUAAAUAAAAAAAAUAGCAGAU
This is a non-coding RNA of Pantherophis guttatus, 2114 nucleotides long. Lineage: Eukaryota; Metazoa; Chordata; Lepidosauria; Squamata; Colubridae. The record is from RefSeq and is a predicted model, not a curated record.